This 673-nucleotide ribosomal RNA is filed under the name uncultured Bacillota bacterium. RNAcentral's name for it is "bacterial SSU rRNA". It matches the Rfam family "Bacterial small subunit ribosomal RNA", at positions 50 to 721 of the family's 1533-position model. Lineage: Bacteria; Bacillati; Bacillota. The record is from RNAcentral.
CACACAUGCAAGUCGAACGAAGCACUUUAUUUGAUUUCCUUCGGGACUGAUUAUUUUGUGACUGAGUGGCGGACGGGUGAGUAACGCGUGGGUAACCUGCCUUGUACAGGGGGAUAACAGUUGGAAACGGCUGCUAAUACCGCAUAAGCGCACGGCAUCGCAUGAUGCAGUGUGAAAAACUCUGGUGGUAUAAGAUGGACCCGCGUUGGAUUAGCUAGUUGGUGAGGUAACGGCCCACCAAGGCGACGAUCCAUAGCCGACCUGAGAGGGUGACCGGCCACAUUGGGACUGAGACACGGCCCAAACUCCUACGGGAGGCAGCAGUGGGGAAUAUUGCACAAUGGGCGAAAGCCUGAUGCAGCGACGCCGCGUGAGCGAAGAAGUAUUUCGGUAUGUAAAGCUCUAUCAGCAGGGAAGAUAAUGACGGUACCUGACUAAGAAGCACCGGCUAAAUACGUGCCAGCAGCCGCGGUAAUACGUAUGGUGCAAGCGUUAUCCGGAUUUACUGGGUGUAAAGGGAGCGCAGGCGGUGCGGCAAGUCUGAUGUGAAAGCCCGGGGCUCAACCCCGGUACUGCAUUGGAAACUGUCGUACUAGAGUGUCGGAGGGGUAAGCGGAAUUCCUAGUGUAGCGGUGAAAUGCGUAGAUAUUAGGAGGAACACCAGUGGCGAAGG